UACGGGGGGAGCAAGCGUUGUUCGGAUUUACUGGGCGUAAAGGGCGCGUAGGCGGCGUGACAAGUCACUUGUGAAAUCUCCGGGCUUAACUCGGAACGGUCAAGUGAUACUGUCGUGCUAGAGUACAGAAGGGGCAACUGGAAUUCUCGGUGUAGCGGUGAAAUGCGUAGAUAUCGAGAGGAACACCAGUGGCGAAGGCGACUACCUGGCCUGUUCUUGACGCUGAGGCGCGAAAGCUAGGGGAGCAAACGGG
This 253-nucleotide ribosomal RNA is filed under the name uncultured bacterium. RNAcentral's name for it is "partial 16S ribosomal RNA". It matches the Rfam family "Bacterial small subunit ribosomal RNA", at positions 524 to 776 of the family's 1533-position model. The record is from RNAcentral.